GGUGGGGUGGUUUGGGGCACUGGUGGCCAAAGGUGCAGAGCAGCGACUUCGUCCUCCUGGGGCGUUCGCAGCCCUCAGCUCCAAGCCUCGCCUGCUUCCUCUGCUGGUGGCUGUGGAAGACGCCCCUUAGACUCCGACGCACGGGCCAGGGACACUGGGGAGAUUCCUCCGCUCUGUCACGGUUUCUUCUCUGGAUUCGAUGUCCUGGAUUUCAGCUGAGCCUUUGUCAACAAACAAAACAACAAGACAAAACAUAAAAACGUGACUGCUUUGUGAUUUUCCCCUCACAUAGAAAGCACCUGUAGUCUCCUGCAAGCGCCUUCUGCUUUGUGUUGAUCCUGUUGCCUGUGGCUAUGCUGAGCAGGCUCAGGAGGCCCCGGUGCCCGCUUCUCUGCAGGGCAGGAGGCUGCCCACCAGGCCUGAUUGGCGCCUUAGGAAAAGGCCCGGGAAGAGGGAACAGGCCUAAGAAAGCACGUCCUCUGGGGGGAGAAUCGUAGAACAGAAUCACCAGGCUGACUCUCCGAGGUGUGGAGGGCCCGAGGGAGAAGGGAGCUCAAGUGGCCCCGAGUGCGGUCAGCAUGGGGGUUUCCGAGACCUCGGGCUCCCAGAGUUUAGUUUUUGUGUGUCAAAUAUUUUUCUCUUGGAGAGAUGGAGAAUGUGCUGUGAGGCCCGCUGGGCUUCAGUCUUUGUUCCCUGCCCACAGACUGAGCGGGGGAGCUCGUUCCCUGCUCUGAGCCUCAGUUUCCUUCUCUGCACAGCAGACGUUAAGAGCCUGUUGCAGUAGUGCGUGCCUGUGGUCCCAGCACGCUGGGAGGUUGAAGCAGGAGGAUGGAAAAUUGGAAUUUACCCCCAGUAACUUAGUGACACCCUGUCUCAAAAUAAAAUACAAUUUAUGAAAAAGAA
Long non-coding RNA from Cavia porcellus (domestic guinea pig), 903 nucleotides. RefSeq lists it as uncharacterized. The record is from RefSeq and is a predicted model, not a curated record. Lineage: Eukaryota; Metazoa; Chordata; Mammalia; Rodentia; Caviidae. The transcript is spliced from 2 exons.